GACAGAGGGUGCAAACGUUGCUCGGAAUUACUGGGCGUAAAGCGCGUGUAGGUGGACUUGUAAGUCAGACGUGAAAUCCCCGGGCUCAACCCGGGAACUGCGCUUGAAACUACAAGUCUUGAGUGUUGGAGAGGAUCGUGGAAUUCCUGGUGUACAGGUGAAAUUGGUAGAUAUCAGGAGGAACACCGGUGGCGAAGGCGGCGAUCUGGACAACAACUGACACUGAGACGCGAAAGCGUGGGGAGCAAACAGG
RNAcentral lists this ribosomal RNA (253 nucleotides) under uncultured bacterium. RNAcentral's name for it is "partial 16S ribosomal RNA". It matches the Rfam family "Bacterial small subunit ribosomal RNA", at positions 524 to 776 of the family's 1533-position model. The record is from RNAcentral.